AACUGAAAUAAAUUAAUCAAAGGCCCAUAUAAAUAAAUUCAGAGGCCCAAUCAGUAAUUAAAAUCGGCCCAUAUAAAUAAAAUCAGAGGCCCAAUUCAUAAUUUAGAUGUGAAGCCCAAGUCAUUAAAAAUAACAUCAAGCCCAGCUUAAAAUAAUUCGGCCCACAAUAAAUAAAAAGGAAAAGCCCAAUUUCCUUAAAAUAAACAAGCUCAAAUUCGGCCCAAACAAUAACUCAAGCCCAAAAUUAAAAAAAAUACGAGCCCAAAUAUAAAAAAAUUACGAGCCCAAUGUAAUGGCCCAACACCCAAUUCUCUUCCCCCUUUUCCUUCCAAAUUCGGCUGAGCCCCUCCUCUUUCUACCUCACGUUUCCUCCCCAUCUCUGUUCUCUUUCUUUCUCUCUGUUGGAGCCGCUCCCUUCGGUUCUCUCUCUCUUUCGAUCCGCCUCCAGCCGAGGCGGGCGUCGCCGGCGCGGCCGUGCCUGGCAGAGGGCGGCACACCUUGCCGUCUCACUCUCCUCUCUCUCUCAAGGAGCUGUUCGCCCCUUCCUCUCCAGCCUGCUC
Molecule: long non-coding RNA, 560 nt
Filed under: Salvia miltiorrhiza (redroot sage)
Lineage: Eukaryota; Viridiplantae; Streptophyta; Magnoliopsida; Lamiales; Lamiaceae
Description: long non-coding RNA (SMIL_LNC011959)
Source: RNAcentral